Molecule: long non-coding RNA, 1052 nt
Organism: Tigriopus californicus
Lineage: Eukaryota; Metazoa; Arthropoda; Copepoda; Harpacticoida; Harpacticidae
Exons: 3
Source: RefSeq, a predicted model, not a curated record
CCUACAAUUGGCUCUUGUGCUUCAAGAACGAGCAGUCUUUUCCGAGGCAAAGGCUGUACCUUAUUUUCAUGACCUCAAGUAAAGGAAUGUUGAGUGUCCUCACUCGGGAAUAGACGCCACUUCGGACGGGGCAAUCAUCGUAAACUACAAACGCUCGGGCAGAAUAGCCAAGGCGUCUCUGGUGUGAUUUUUGGCCUUGAUUACCUGAAACAGAUAAUGGAGAUUCGCAUUAUUCCUUCUUUUUCUAACACGAGCCCAAAAAAGCAUGCCGAUUUACGAGGGGCGGAAGCGAUAAUCAGACCAAACAAGUGGCUCGAAAAGAAGACCUUCUACUCAAGUUGUAGUCAUGAUUUAGAACCGCCCGUGAGGAGUCUCGCUUAACCAUGUUAAGCUCAAAGAGAUCUAGUUAAUGAGAUGAAACCGAGAAAUUCAUCAACCGAAAGGGCCUCAACUGAUGAAUGAAAACCGACGAACCAGUGGAAAACCCUCCUUGAAUGGUUGCUCCGACCGAACUGAUUCCAACGAACGGCGGUCACCUUGCCUCUCUCUCCUUCCCUCCUUCUUUCUGUCUAACCGUCCAACCAUCCAACCACCGAGCGAUGCAAGUCUGGUUCCAUCGUUCGUUCGUUCGUUCGUUCAGCCGUCUUUUUGGUCGAUGGGAUGUGUAGUUUGGUGUACGUAUGCGAACGUCCGGACAUGCGUGCUUUUUGUACAUGGAAUGAGCGAAUUGAGAUUUCCAGGGGGUUUUCAGUCGGGCUUUUAGCGAGGCAAUUUCCAGUCCGGCAACCCGACGACUCAAGACGAACGGGAGGAGGGCCUACCUUCAUCACCUUCUUCAAUAGAGUUGGAAAUUCAAUGUGAUCACAGUCCAAUGCUCGAGUCCACAAUUUGACUAAGACUUUGAACGAUAUUGUUUCUCUGUGAUUGUGUAAUACAAUUCACCAAUGACCUUCAAUGUCCAUCUACUUCUGAAAUUCCUCCCUCAUCUUGAAACAUCAAUCCAAUUAUUUGCCUACUUGAUUAUAUCAAUAUGAAUGAACAUUUUGGCAGUC